Long non-coding RNA from Oxyura jamaicensis (ruddy duck), 564 nucleotides. RefSeq lists it as uncharacterized. The record is from RefSeq and is a predicted model, not a curated record. The transcript has 3 exons. Lineage: Eukaryota; Metazoa; Chordata; Aves; Anseriformes; Anatidae.
GCGCAUUCUGCACUCUGAAGAGCAGCACGAGAAGGGGGUCUGGUUGUGAGCCGCAUUGGAGCAGAAUGGCCAAGUACCGCAAGGUGACUAUGAAGGGUUUCUCUCUUGCUUUGCAGGUGCCAUGGCAGGCUCUCCACAGAAGUGGCUGAGGAUUUGAGAUAAGGCUGGAGAGUGACAAGGAGCGGCACAUGCAGUGAUGGUUUCCAAGCACUGCGGUUGCUUUCUCUUCUGUUUAUCAGGUGCCACAGGCAAGGUGGGUUGUAACAUCAGUCUUUAGAAUUGGAGCAAAGCAGGUCACUUGAAUGCCACAGGGCAUCUGAGAAGGGUGUUUUAACAGAAAAAGUUUGUCUGUUGUGGUGGUGUCUGAUUGCAGUGUGUUUCCACAGGUGAAGAGGUGCCUGAAGCCCCAUCCUGUAUGGGCUGAGUACGCCUCGCUGAGGAUGAAGCUUGCUUUUCAUUAGUGCCUAAAGACACAUUGGGGCUGAAAUGCUGUGUCUGUAUUUGGGCUGGGGUUGUGCCUUGUCUCUAGGGGAUUCACGCAGAGCUUCAGUACGCAUCUCAAGG